Molecule: long non-coding RNA, 242 nt
Filed under: Lathyrus oleraceus (garden pea)
Lineage: Eukaryota; Viridiplantae; Streptophyta; Magnoliopsida; Fabales; Fabaceae
Description: Pisum sativum (pea) long non-coding RNA (PSAT_LNC037669)
Source: RNAcentral
UUUUAAUUAAUUAUGUAUGUGGAAUUGUAUGUGUAAUUGGGGCAUUAGUGAGGUGUGGUGAGAGGAUUGGUGGGUAGUAGAAGAAUUAGAAUAAAUAAUAUAAUUAAAAUAAUUAGAGUUAUAGUUAUUUUGAUUAAUUAAUUAGAUAAAUGAGAGAAGAUGCUUUUGGGGUGGAAAAGAGGAAAUUAGAGAAUAUGAGGGGAGCGGUGAAAGUUAGGACAUAAGUUGAGCCUUAGUGUAAU